AUACUUACCUGGCAGGGGUGAUUCCAUGAUCAUGAAGGUGGUUUUCCCAGGGUGAGGCUUAUCCAUUGGACUCCAGAUGGGCUGAACCCUGCAAUUUCCCCAAAUGCAAAAACAAUUUAAUAAUAAUAAUAAUAAUGGGGGCAGCUAGGUGGCGCAGUGGAU
This is a small nuclear RNA of Dromiciops gliroides (monito del monte), 162 nucleotides long. RefSeq annotates it as U1 spliceosomal RNA. The record is from RefSeq and is a predicted model, not a curated record. The transcript has a single exon. NCBI's taxonomy places the organism in Eukaryota, Metazoa, Chordata, Mammalia, Microbiotheria, Microbiotheriidae.